GAUGAACGCUGGCGGCGUGCCUAAUACAUGCAAGUCGAGCGAACAGACGAGGAGCUUGCUCCUCUGACGUUAGCGGCGGACGGGUGAGUAACACGUGUAUAACCUACCUAUAAGACUGGGAUAACUUCGGGAAACCGGAGCUAAUACCGGAUAAUAUAUUGAACCGCAUGGUUCAAUAGUGAAAGACGGUUUUGCUGUCACUUAUAGAUGGAUCCGCGCCGCAUUAGCUAGUUGUUACGGUAACGGCUUACCAAGGCAACGAUGCGUAGCCGACCUGAGAGGGUGGUCGGCGACACUGGAGCUGGAACGCGGUCAAGAGUCCUAAGGGAGGCAGCAGUAGGGAAUGUUCCGCAAUAGGCGAGAGCAUGACGGAGCGACGGCGCGUGAGUGAUGAAGGUCUUCGGAUCGUAAAACUGUGUUAUUAGGGAAGAACAGAUGUGUAAGUAACUAUGCACGUCUUGACGGUACCUAAUCAGAAAGCCACGGCUAACUACGUG
RNAcentral lists this ribosomal RNA (497 nucleotides) under uncultured bacterium. RNAcentral describes it as "partial 16S ribosomal RNA". It matches the Rfam family "Bacterial small subunit ribosomal RNA", at positions 28 to 507 of the family's 1533-position model. The record is from RNAcentral.